This 1920-nucleotide small RNA is filed under the name Arabidopsis thaliana (thale cress). RNAcentral describes it as "ATSL171100". Lineage: Eukaryota; Viridiplantae; Streptophyta; Magnoliopsida; Brassicales; Brassicaceae. The record is from RNAcentral.
UUUGAUCACGUACAAGUGUGGAGUGAAAGCGAAUGUCACGGAUCAUCACUAUCAAACAACGACUUGAUUGGAUAUAUCAAGUUAGCUUUUGGGUUUUUGUGUGAAUAUGUGAAAGAAGGAAACAGUUCAAGUGGUGGAAUUGGUGAUCCGUUUCCCAUCACGUCCGAAGGAGUUUGGGCGAUUUCUUAACGUUCUGAAUAGAUCUCGUUCCCAAGUUUUCAGAACAGUUUUUCGAUCCAAAAUCAGAGGUAAGAUCAAUCGGAAAAUUGCGUUUAGAGUUGGUGAAUAGUCACAGUUUUCAGAGCGCAGUUUUUUCUAAAGUAUCUGAGAAACAUUGUAGUUUCAGGUAGAGGUUUUCAGGAUCAAUUUCCCGCUGAAUCAGAGAGAAUCAAGUGUGGCGUGAGGUGUCAUUGCAAUAAUCAUAAUGUUAAGAAUCCAUGGCCGCUGACAGAGAUAGAAUCGAGAUUAUAUUAAAGAAGUUAUGAGUAUUUCCUUCUGGGCAAGUAACUGUAGAAGCUGUCCAAAUCUGUGCUAAGUAUAAAUCCAGAACAGUGUGUGACUAUUGGUUUUGCGAUGCGUUUUCCCGAUGGACCAAAAGGAAUUAGAUCACGAUCAAGACGUCUAUGGAAAGAUCUUGCUUCAAGGAAUUUAGAGUAGCUGACAUCUUGACCAUCGGAUUUAAGCUCCAUCCGUAUUUGACUUUGAAAGGUUGCCCAGAAUCAUCUCAAGUUGCAGAAACCUAGAUAUCAGUUCUGAUGCAUCAUAUUCAGAAGAACGUGGGAGAUUCAUGUGAGGUCUGAUCGAGAUGAAACGUCGUGGACUUAUUCGUGAUACUACUGGCUAUAUAUUAAACGGUGGGAUCACGUUUCUAACGGUUAGUUCUCGACUUAUGAGUAUGUUACUGAGACAGUUUUGUAUAGAGUAAACCAUGACAAGGUUUUAUUGUUUGAAUGGGAAACGGGUUCGGUUGGAGCUGAAGCUUUGCAGAAGCCUUUAGGACUCAUGGAGUAAGGUUUUGGUUGAUGGAGAAGCAAGGUGGAGCUCAAGAGUAUGCAGUUAAAGCUCCUAUAGUAUGUUGGUUUAAAAGGAGAGAAAGGAGAAUAGAGAUGUUCUUCAUCUUCAACUAGGCUAAGGUGAGGGUGGUAUUUGCGGAACAUGGUAUCAUUUUCUUUUGUUAUGCUUCUUGACGCAUGAUAUGUAGGCUUAGAUAUGAUUGUAUAGGAUAAGAUUACAUGAUGAUAUGAUUUUAUGAUUGUUGAGUAUGAUGUUUGAUAAUGUGAUGUUAUGUAUGAUAUUAUAAGUAUGUGUAUGUUAAGUAUGAUUAUGAGUAUGUAUGUAUGAUGAAUGUAAGAUUGGGGAGAAUCGAGCUAUGGGCCGUGGUCUCCCUAGUGAUGUGGACAGUGAUGGACCGACGGGUUAACAGCUGGUCAAGAACGGCUGACGAGCCCGGAAUGGGAGUGUCUGAGCCACGAGGGCCAGCCUCCACCUAUGAGGUUCUAGUCGUCACGAGGAUGACUGGACCUAACGAUGUGUAUGUUUACAUUAAUAUAAAUAAGAUGAUUGUUAUGAAUUUGUUAUUAGAAGUUAAAGCAUGUUAGAUUGAUUGCUUGUGUCUAAGUUUAUAUGUUAUGAUGAUGGUUGUAUAGCUUUAGAAAGUGUUUUAUGUUUCAGUGGGCAGAGUUGAUUCCUCUCCCUGAGUAUUCUUUACUCACCCCCUUUUCUUCCUUUUUCCUCAGGUUAGUAAGCGUGAGGAGUUGUGUGCAAUAUUUUGUUCGAGUAUGAAGUUUAAAGAAAACUUUUUUGGCAAGAUCAGAUGAAUAACAUGCCGUCUUAAUCUAUAUUGCGGGGCGGGUGUUACAUGUGGUCCUGCAUCUCCACACGUAAUAACACUAAAUUUGGAUAAUCUCUAGCUAAUUAUAU